CGCACAUUGCGCCCAUUAGUAUUCUAGUGGGCAUGCCUGUUCGAGCGUCAUUUCAACCCUUAAGCCCCUGUUGCUUAGCGUUGGGAGCCUACAGCCCUGCUGUAGCUCCUCAAAGUUAGUGGCGGAGUUAGUGCAUACUCUAGGCGUAGUAGAUUUUUUCCAUCUCGCCUCUGUAGUUGUACUGUCUCCCGCCGUAAAACCCCCUAUAAUAUCAAAGGUUGACCUCGGAUCAGGUAGGAAUACCCGCUGAACUUAA
Molecule: unclassified non-coding RNA, 256 nt
Filed under: fungal sp.
Lineage: Eukaryota; Fungi
Description: partial contains 5.8S ribosomal RNA, internal transcribed spacer 2, and large subunit ribosomal RNA
Source: RNAcentral